UAGGGAAUUUUGGACAAUGGGCGAAAGCCUGAUCCAGCAACGCCGCGUGCGCGAUGACGGCCUUCGGGUUGUAAAGCGCUUUUAAGAGAGAUGAGAAAGGACAGUAUCUCUAGAAUAAGCCUCGGCGAACUACGUGCCAGCAGCCGCGGUAAAACGUAGGAGGCUAGCGUUAUCCGGAUUUAUUGGGCGUAAAGCGUGUGCAGGCGGUUUGGCAAGUUGGAUGUGAAAGCUCCCGGCUUAACUGGGAGAGGUCGUUCAAAACUGCCAGACUAGAGAAUGGAAGAGGGAGGUGGAAUUCCGGGUGUAGUGGUGAAAUGCGUAGAUAUCCGGAGGAACACCAGUGGCGAAAGCGGCCUCCUAGGCCAUUUCUGACGCUAAGACACGAAAGCUAGGGUAGCAAACGG
This 404-nucleotide ribosomal RNA is filed under the name uncultured bacterium. RNAcentral's name for it is "bacterial SSU rRNA". It matches the Rfam family "Bacterial small subunit ribosomal RNA", at positions 355 to 775 of the family's 1533-position model. The record is from RNAcentral.